UUUUCGGAGAGCUUCUCUCUCUAACUUUCUCUCUCUAGAUCUUCAGCGGAUCAUAACUUUUGAUCCGUAACUCCGAUUCAGGAUCCGCAAAGGGCUACAGAUUUAUCUUGAUGUCCUCUUUCUAUCCAUAGAGGUUUGAGUUAGAUCCAAUGGUGAUUUCUAGAAGGCUCGUUUUUAGGAGGCUCGGUUUACGAUCGGUAUUCUAGGAGGCGAUUUGUAUUGUCGAGAGAAGUACUUAGGUUUUGAUGAGCCGAAGUGGGUUGGACGAGCCUAGAAGGAAGAUUUUAUUUACAUUCUGCCUUGUAACACUCACACCUCAGAUUCGGGGUCAGGUGCUUAAAAUCCACCGACACCGGGUCUGGGGCGUGACAGAAAUCAAAACUGCAAAGGCACAAAUGAUUUAGGAUGUAAAGAUCAGGGAGGUAAAAUGAAAUUAGUUCUUAUUUUUAUUUCUCAAAAUAUGGCUCAAUGUAAUUAUAGGUAAGUCAAAACUCAUUUUACACAUAUAUUGAAAUUACUUAAUAACAUUUACAAAUAUUAGUGAAGGUGGUCAUAUUCAAUUAACUAUCUCUCCAAAUCUCCCAAAUUAAUUGUUGUUUAACAAAAGGAAAUUAAAGAAAAUAAAGCUUGUGAAAUCAAUUAUAUAUAUAUAUAUAUAUAUAUAUAUAUAUAUAUAUAUAUAAAGAUAAGUUGUAUGUUAUAGAAAAAAGAGAAACAUAUUUAAAAAAUAGAAAAAGUAGAAAAUUAUUAGGGCUUAAUUGGGCGGGCUCAGAGAGAUGAGCUGAGCUUCAUUUGCAUGGCCCAUAUCCUACCCUAUUUGAGAAAGAAUUGGGCUGGUCCGCUUUAAUGCAAGUGCCGGGCCGGGCAGGCUUAGGGUCGAAGGGCCAAACGAUGACCCCUAGAUUGACAUCCCUAAAACCAUUUUUGUGGAAUGUGGAGCAAGAGCCAGUGGUAAUUUUAGGGGGUGUUUGUUUCAUGGGAUUGGAUGGGAUUGGACUGUCUUAUUUAUUAGAGUAAGAGUUAUCCCAUGUUUGGCUGAAACAAGGACUCACUUAAAUGAGACUAUGCAGUCCCCGAGUCUACCUCCGCACCUUCUUACAUAGUCUCCCCAAAUUUCACCGGACUGUGGAAGCAGGUUUUAUGCAACGCUAAAGUCUCGUUCUUCGCUUCAGCCUCAUCGUUCUCACUCACUCGUUUCCUUCGCUUCAGUCUUCUCCGGCUGCUCUUUUUCAGGUUCAAUUCUCUCAUUUCUCAUGCUCUCUGUCUUGUGUUGAUUAUUGUUCACUCUCCCCUUCAACCCUCUCUACCUUCUUCUUUCUCCGUCUACUAUAAUUUGUUUUAUUAAAGAUUAUGGAAUGAUUAUCUGUAAUUUGUUUAUGGGUAGUGAUUAUUUUACGGAUUGAUUGAGGAUUUGGUGUCUGAGUAGCUUGAUUUGUUGAGAAUUUGAUCAAUUUCAUGACUGGGUCUCUCUCUCUCUCCCCCCUUCAACCCUCUCUACCUUCUUCUUUCUCUGUCUACUGUAAUUUGUUUUAUUAAAGAUUAUGGACUGAUUAUCUACUGUAAUUUGUUUAUGGGUAGUGAUUAUUUUACAGAUUGAUUGAGGAUUUGGUGUCUGAGUAGCUUGAUUUGUUGAGAAUUUGAUCAAUUUCAUGACUGGAUCAAUUUCAAUUUGAUCAAUUGUUGUUUAGGAAGGAAACUACUCGGUAUUGGAGAAGUUCUAUGUACAUCGGCAAGGAUACAAGAACAGAUUUUCAAAAUCCAGGACCAGGUAUAUAUUUCGUUUCUUGCUAUUAUCUUUAUGGAUGUGUGAAAUAAAACCUUCGCAUACUGUUAAGUUGAGGUCAAACUCAUUAGCCAGAAACUGACCAUUACUUGGAGCUAUCUUUAUUAAUAGCUAAGCACCAGAUCCAUCUGUUUCUUGUAAUUGAGGAUCCCAUUUUUUUAGAAGUCCUCUAAUGCUGGUUGUUUAUGUAAUUGAUUCAGUCCACAACAAGCUGCUUCCCUGAAUUGUUCUUUCAGGCAUUUCUCUGCCCUUUGGAUUCCUAACAAGUACAAAAUGCUCCUAGCCACUUUUUGAUAAUAUAAAUUCAGUCUUAUCUUUUGUUUCAUUUUGUAAUUUAUGUUUUUGAUAUGUGGAGUUAAUGAAAUUGGUUCUGUUUUCGGAUGUAUGUGGAGGCUUUGAAAUGUGCAUUGUGGCUUGCUGCUUUGGCACACUUCUGGAAUAAUGAAGGCAUUACUGAUCAUAUCAGAUGAGGGAGAUGACUGUCCCAUGACCAAGCUGCCAGAAAUCAACUUUGAGGCUCUGUUUUGGUGCAAAACUCCUAGAGAAAUGAAGCUUAUUUUUAGGCUCAUGUUGUUAUUACGUUAGGAAACUUUCAUUAUGGAAGGGAGCUUGUCCUUAUCACCAAGGGUGGCACUCCUUUCUAAUCAAGCAAAAUUUACUUUGCUCACAAAGUAUGUAUUAGCUGAUCUUUUAGGAUGUGGCUCUCUAUCUUGCAGAGGCCAUUUUGACCCUUUAGGAUGUCCUGUAUGUCCGCAGUUUAUUAAUGAAAUUAUUUCCUAUAUGAUUCAAAAAAAAGUGUAAAACUACAUUAUAAAUAUUAUCUCUUAUUAAUAGAUAAUAUUUUGCUUUAAAAAAAAAUAUUGUGAUAUGCAAAAUUAAAUUAGUCCUAAA
Molecule: long non-coding RNA, 2674 nt
Organism: Rosa rugosa (rugosa rose)
Lineage: Eukaryota; Viridiplantae; Streptophyta; Magnoliopsida; Rosales; Rosaceae
Exons: 3
Source: RefSeq, a predicted model, not a curated record